GAUGAACGCUGGCGGCAGGCUUAAUACAUGCCUUUCGAACGGUAAGGCCGAGUGUAGCAAUACACGAGGUACACGAGUGGCGCACGGGUGCGUAACGCGUAUGCAUCCUGCCCCUGACCGGGACAAAACAGCUGGAAACGGCUGCUAAUAUCCCAUGGUUACCGAGGAGGGCAUCCUCCUUUGUAUAAAGAUUUAUUGGUCGGGGAUGGGCAUGCGUAUUAUUAGGUAGUUGGUGGGGUAACGGCCCACCAAGCCGACGAUGAUUAGGGGUUCUGAGAGGAUUAACCCCCACACUGGAACUGAGACACGGUCCAGACUCCUACGGGAGGCAGCAGUAGGGAAUAUUGGGCAAUGGAGGCAACUCUGACCCAGCCAUGCCGCGUGAAGGAAGACGGCCCUAUGGGUUGUAAACUUCUUUUAUCGUGGAGUAAACCCGGUCACGUGUGGCCGGUUGAGAGUACACGAGGAAUAAGUAUCGGCUAACUCCGUGCCAGCAGCCGCGGUAAUACGGAGGAUACGAGCGUUAUCCGGAUUUAUUGGGUUUAAAGGGUGCGCAGGCGGAUCGGUAAGUCAGGGGUGAAAAGUUGGGGCUCAACUCCAAUCGUGCCUUUGAUACUGCCGGACUAGAGUGCGAUAGGCGUGGCUGGAAUGUGAUGUGUAGCGGUGAAAUACUUAGAUAUGUCACAGAACACCGAUCGAGAAGUCAGGUCACGAGCUCGCAACUGACGCUGAGGCUCGAAAGUGUGGGGAGCAAACAGGAUUAGAUACCCUAGUAGUCCACGCCGUAAACGAUGGUCACUAAGUGUCGGGGGUCAAACCCCGGUGCUGCAGUCAACGCAAUAAGUGACCCGCCUGAGUAGUACGUUCGCAAGAAUGAAACUCAAAGGAAUUGACGGGGGCCCGCACAAGCAGUGGAGUAUGUGGUUUAAUUCGAAGCAACGCGAAGAGCCUUACCAGGUCUUGACAUCGUAUACUAUCUGUAGAAGUACAGAGUUCUCUUCGGAGACGUACAGACAGGUGGUGCAUGGUUGUCGUCAGCUCGUGUCGUGAGGUGUUGGGUUAAGUCCCGCAACGAGCGCAACCCCUAUUUUCAGUUACCAUCGGGUAAUGCCGGGGACUCUGGAGAGACUGCCGUUAUAAAACGGAGGAAGGCGGGGAUGACGUCAAGUCAGCAUGGCCCUUACGUCCAGGGCUACACACGUGCUACAAUGGUCGGUACAAAGGGAAGCGAAGUCGCGAGGCGGAGCAAAUCUCAAAAAGCCGAUCCCAGUCCGGACUGCAGGCUGCAAUUCGCCUGCACGAAGUCGGAAUCACUAGUAACCGCAGGUCAGCUACACUGCGGUGA
Molecule: ribosomal RNA, 1345 nt
Filed under: uncultured bacterium
Lineage: Bacteria
Description: bacterial SSU rRNA
Rfam family: Bacterial small subunit ribosomal RNA
Source: RNAcentral